This 301-nucleotide ribosomal RNA is filed under the name uncultured bacterium. Its description in RNAcentral is "partial 16S ribosomal RNA". It matches the Rfam family "Bacterial small subunit ribosomal RNA", at positions 509 to 808 of the family's 1533-position model. The record is from RNAcentral.
CAGUAGCCACGGGAAUACAGAGGGUGCGAGCGUUAAUCGGAUUUACUGGGCGUAAAGCGUGCGUAGGCGGCUUUUUAAGUCGGAUGUGAAAUCCCUGAGCUUAACUUAGGAAUUGCAUUCGAUACUGGGAAGCUAGAGUAUGGGAGAGGAUGGUAGAAUUCCAGGUGUAGCGGUGAAAUGCGUAGAGAUCUGGAGGAAUACCGAUGGCGAAGGCAGCCAUCUGGCCUAAUACUGACGCUGAGGUACGAAAGCAUGGGGAGCAAACAGGAUUAGAUACCCCGGUAGCCCUGUCUCUUAUACC